This 253-nucleotide ribosomal RNA is filed under the name uncultured prokaryote. RNAcentral's name for it is "partial 16S ribosomal RNA". It matches the Rfam family "Bacterial small subunit ribosomal RNA", at positions 525 to 777 of the family's 1533-position model. The record is from RNAcentral.
ACGGAGGAUCCAAGCGUUAUCCGGAAUCAUUGGGUUUAAAGGGUCCGUAGGCGGUCUUAUAAGUCAGUGGUGAAAUCCGGUAGCUCAACUAUCGAACGGCCAUUGAUACUGUAGAACUUGAAUUAUUGUGAAGUAACUAGAAUAUGUAGUGUAGCGGUGAAAUGCUUAGAUAUUACAUGGAAUACCAAUUGCGAAGGCAGGUUACUAACAAUAUAUUGACGCUGAUGGACGAAAGCGUGGGGAGCGAACAGGA